Molecule: long non-coding RNA, 812 nt
Filed under: Pan troglodytes (chimpanzee)
Lineage: Eukaryota; Metazoa; Chordata; Mammalia; Primates; Hominidae
Description: long non-coding RNA NONPTRT007652
Source: RNAcentral
AGACCAUGUCUGAAUAGAUACCUGAGAGUUAGACCCAUGUGCUGGGUCUGGGUGAGGCUGUGUGUAGAUCACAGCAGCGUGAGCACUGGCUGUACCUUUGCCCUGUCCUGCUGCUCUUCCUGUCUGCUGUGUCAGGACACUGAGCAGAAGUGGCGGUGGAAUGCACACAGCACAGCGUGUCACAGUGCGCAUGGGCUCCCCACUGGAAGGGAUGUAGCAUUGUUUUUCUUUCGUAAUGGAGAGAAGAGGGGAAGAAAAGGCCCAGGCACUGGUUCUCCAACUCUUGUACAUCCGGUCACUGUCCUGAGAUUCAGAAGGUCUGGGAUGUUCUGAGAAUUUGCAUUUCUGACAAGUUUGCAGAGAGUAAUGCUGAUGCUGCUGGUUCAGGGACCCACUCGGAGAGUCAGUGGCCUGGAGCACUGGAGGGCUCCGUGGAGCUGGGAGGGUGGAGGGAUGACGGCCUCGGGGUGGCACAAGGAGGUGCCGGGUGAAGAGGAGGUGCCAGAGGCAGGAUGGAGCAGCUCACAGUGGUACCUGGGAUGGCCCCGUGGCUUCUGCCAAGCCAAAUUCUCCUGUUUCAUAAGAAUUGCUCACUGCAUUUGUUUGUAGAAGUCAACAUUAAUUAAUCUUCUCAACUGAAAUGAAAAUACUUUAUGGGAAUACACUGAGAACCCCCCGCCCCCGCCUGCCAGCACAUCAGAUGGAUUGAAGCAUUUGAAGGCAGAAUAUAGUUCACAGAAAAAGCAAACCUAAUUAUAACCUAAAGAUCAUACAUCAGGUGAGUUAUGUUCAUUUCAAAACAGAGACAUUAA